Molecule: transfer RNA, 86 nt
Filed under: Candidatus Cloacimonadota bacterium
Lineage: Bacteria; Pseudomonadati; Candidatus Cloacimonadota
Description: tRNA-Leu
Rfam family: tRNA
About the family: Transfer RNA (tRNA) molecules are approximately 80 nucleotides in length.
Source: RNAcentral
GCGAAAGUGGCGGAAUUGGCAGACGCGCUGGACUUAGGAUCCAGUAGGUUUCACCUGUAGGGGUUCGAGUCCCCUCUUUCGCACCA